RNAcentral lists this small nucleolar RNA (105 nucleotides) under Gossypium arboreum. RNAcentral's name for it is "Plant small nucleolar RNA R71". It matches the Rfam family "Plant small nucleolar RNA R71". From Rfam's summary of the family: R71 is a member of the C/D box family of snoRNAs containing the C (UGAUGA) and D (CUGA) box motifs. The record is from Rfam by way of RNAcentral. Lineage: Eukaryota; Viridiplantae; Streptophyta; Magnoliopsida; Malvales; Malvaceae.
AACCCAUGGUGGAGGCAUCUUCUUAAAAGGUCCUUGUAUCUCUCUCAUGCAUCAUAGAGUGUUUCUAAAUCCAUCUGCACAAAAGAAAAAUAUCAUUAUGUAAUU